RNAcentral lists this ribosomal RNA (253 nucleotides) under uncultured bacterium. RNAcentral describes it as "partial 16S ribosomal RNA". It matches the Rfam family "Bacterial small subunit ribosomal RNA", at positions 524 to 776 of the family's 1533-position model. The record is from RNAcentral.
UACGAGUGCCCCAAGCGUUAUCCGGAAUUAUUGGGCGUAAAGGGUGUGUAGGUGGUCUUGUUAGUCUUCUGUGAAAUUCUUCGGCUUAACCGGGGGUCCGCAGGGGAAACGGCAGGACUAGAGGAUGCGAGAGGUGUGCGGAACUCAUGGUGUAGGGGUGAAAUGCGUAGAUAUCUGGAGGAAUACCGGUGGCGAAGGCGGCAUCCUGGACCGGCAUUGACGCUGAUGAGCGAAAGCUAGGGGAGCAAACGGG